CAGCAGCCGCGGGAAUACGUAGGGGGCAAGCGUUAUCCGGAUUUACUGGGUGUAAAGGGAGAGCAGGCGGUGCGGCAAGUCUGAUGUGAAAGCCCGGGGCUCAACCCCGGGACUGCAUUGGAAACUGUCGUACUUGAGUAUCGGAGAGGUAAGUGGAAUUCCUAGUGUAGCGGUGAAAUGCGUAGAUAUUAGGAGGAACACCAGUGGCGAAGGCGGCUUACUGGACGAUAACUGACGCUGAGGCUCGAAAGCGUGGGGAGCAAACAGGAUUAGAUACCCGCGUAGUCCCUGUCUCUUAUAA
This 301-nucleotide ribosomal RNA is filed under the name uncultured bacterium. RNAcentral describes it as "partial 16S ribosomal RNA". It matches the Rfam family "Bacterial small subunit ribosomal RNA", at positions 509 to 809 of the family's 1533-position model. The record is from RNAcentral.